UGGUGGAGCAUUUGUCUGGUUAAUUCCGAUAACGAACGAGACUCUGGCCUAUUAAAUAGUUCGCCGAUUCCGAUCUGUCGGCGUUAACUUCUUAGAGGGACAAGUGGCUUUUAGCCACGCGAGAUUGAGCAAUAACA
RNAcentral lists this ribosomal RNA (137 nucleotides) under uncultured eukaryote. RNAcentral describes it as "partial 18S ribosomal RNA". It matches the Rfam family "Eukaryotic small subunit ribosomal RNA", at positions 1299 to 1458 of the family's 1831-position model. The record is from RNAcentral.